This 252-nucleotide ribosomal RNA is filed under the name uncultured bacterium. Its description in RNAcentral is "partial 16S ribosomal RNA". It matches the Rfam family "Bacterial small subunit ribosomal RNA", at positions 524 to 776 of the family's 1533-position model. The record is from RNAcentral.
UACGGGGGGGCAAGCGUUGUCCGGAAUCAUUGGGCGUAAAGCGCGUGUAGGCGGCCCGGUAAGUCCGCUGUGAAAGUCCAGGGCUCAACCCUGGGAUGCCGGUGGAUACUGUCGGGCUAGAGUCCGGAAGAGGCGAGUGGAAUUCCUGGUGUAGCGGUGGAAUGCGCAGAUAUCAGGAGGAACACCGAUGGCGAAGGCAGCUCGCUGGGACGGUACUGACGCUGAGGCGCGAAAGCGUGGGGAGCGAACAGG